Molecule: ribosomal RNA, 305 nt
Filed under: uncultured bacterium
Lineage: Bacteria
Description: bacterial SSU rRNA
Rfam family: Bacterial small subunit ribosomal RNA
Source: RNAcentral
UGUUUCCUACGGGGCGCAGCAGUAGGGAAUUUUCGUCAAUGGGCGCAAGCCUGAACGAGCGAUGCCGCGUGAGUGAAGAAGGCCUUCGGGUCGUAAAGCUCUGUUGCGGGGAAAAAAGGCAGCAUCAGGAAAUGGGUGCUGACUGAUGGUGCCCCGCCAGAAAGUCACGGCUAACUACGUGCCAGCAGCCGCGGUAAUACGUAGGGGGCGAGCGUUAGCCAGAAUGAUUGGGAGUAAAGGGUGCGCAGGCGGUCCUGCAAGUCUGGAGUGAAACGCAUGAGCUCAAAUCAUGCAAGGCUUUGGAA